Molecule: ribosomal RNA, 483 nt
Filed under: uncultured bacterium
Lineage: Bacteria
Description: bacterial SSU rRNA
Rfam family: Bacterial small subunit ribosomal RNA
Source: RNAcentral
GACGAACGCUGGCGGCGUGCUUAACACAUGCAAGUCGAGCGGUAAGGCCCUUUCGGGGGUACACGAGCGGCGAACGGGUGAGUAACACGUGAGUAAUCUGCCCUGCGCUUCGGGAUAACCAUCGGAAACGGUGGCUAAUACCGGAUAUGACAACGCACCGCAUGGUGGGUUGUGGAAAGUUUUUUCGGCGCAGGAUGUGCUCGCGGCCUAUCAGCUUGUUGGUGAGGUAAUGGCUCACCAAGGCUUCGACGGGUAGCCGGCCUGAGAGGGUGACCGGCCACACUGGGACUGAGACACGGCCCAGACUCCUACGGGAGGCAGCAGUGGGGAAUAUUGGACAAUGGGCGGAAGCCUGAUCCAGCAACGCCGCGUGAGGGAUGACUGCCUUCGGGUUGUAAACCUCUUUCAGUACCGACGAAGCGAAAGUGACGGUAGGUACAGAAGAAGCACCGGCCAACUACGUGCCAGCCGCCGCCGUAACAC